GCUGCUUUAGCUCUAGCCAUCAUAUCCUCAUUCCAAGCCACAAAGGAUAAAGCAGGAGAAAUGUCCUUCAGUUUAUGGCCCUGGCCAGUGGUCAUGGGGCUGUGACCUCCUUGUCUGCAGGAAUCAGGAGCUCAUGUCAUCAUGCAAUAGUCUUGUGAUCUCUGGAAACAUCUCUGAGCCUUCAGACCUAGCCUAUUAAGAAAAGAACUGAACAGGGCCCGCAAUCCUGCAUGUGCUUUUCAAUAAUCCCAUGACUAGUCAGUGAGGAUGGAGCAGUGACCCCAAGAUAGAAGACUUCAUUUGGCAUGACUCACCCUUGGAGACAUCCAGCUCGCCUGGCGUGUGUUGUUAAGUGCCUGAUUCUGUAAAUAUUGACAGUCAGAAACCAUCCUGAGAGCUAGGAAGCAACGACCUUGCUUCGUAGGAAGGUAAUGUAUAUGAAUAUGCCCCGUGAUUAGGCAACACUCGUUAUUUGCUCUGAUUUAGUCACUGAUAAAUAUCACUGCACUCUCUCUCUUCCUAAUAGUGACUCCUCUGCUGAUGUGUGACUCAGAGUUGAUAUAUUAUGGGGUCUGAUUCAGCCAGGAAAGUUUGGUCUGCCACCGCAGAGAACAACAUCCAAGGCCACUUUGGAUUCCAAGAUACUGGUUUCUUAACAAGUGUGGCAUUGCCAAGAAGGAAAAGCUCAGAAGCAGUCUCCAUAUUUGAGAAACAGAAGCAGGUGUGGAGGGAUAAAGAGCAGAAGAGUGCGUUAAAAAAAAUAAAAUUUAUUUAUUUAAAAAAGUAUUUUGGCUCAGCUUGAGGCCAUGUGGGAUCUUAGCUCCCCC
Odocoileus virginianus texanus is the source of this 827-nucleotide non-coding RNA. The record is from RefSeq and is a predicted model, not a curated record. Lineage: Eukaryota; Metazoa; Chordata; Mammalia; Artiodactyla; Cervidae.